AGGUAAUGGCGGCUAGUUUCCUGUGUUGUAGCGCUGUUGUCCUAUUUUCAGCGGUGUAACGUCUGUUUUUGGGUCGUUUGAAAGGUGGUCGCCAUGGGAAAAGCGGACUUCCUGUCCCCCAAGGCGAUUAGCAACCGAAUCAAGUCCAAAGGUCUCCAGAAGCUGAGAUGGUACUGCCAGAUGUGUCAGAAACAGUGUCGAGACGAGAAUGGCUUCAAGUGUCACUGCAUGUCCGAGUCCCACCAGAGGCAGCUGUUGCUGGCCUCGGAGAACCCCACCAAGUUCAUGGACUACUUCUCCGAUGAGUUCAAAAGUGACUUCCUGGAGCUCCUCAGAAGACGCUUCGGAACCAAGAGAGUCCACAACAACAUUGUCUACAAUGAGUACAUCAGCCACAGAGAACACGUUCACAUGAACUCCACCCAGUGGGAAACCCUCACUGACUUCACCAAGUGGCUCGGCAGGAAAGGUUUGUGUAAAGUCGACGAGACUCCUAAGGGUUGGUACAUCCAGUACGUGGACCGCGACCCAGAAACCAUCCGGCGCCAGGAGGAGCAGGCCAGGAAGAAGAAGCAGGAACUGGAUGACGAGGAGAGGAGCGCCAAGUUCAUCCAGGAACAGGUCCGAAGAGGGAUGGACGGGAAGGAAGCUGAGGCCCAGCCCGUUUACACAGAACUCAAACGUGAGAGUGAAGAAGAGAAAGUUGCUUUCAACCUGAGCACUCCGGUGGCAAGCUCGUCCAAGUCCAGCUCGGUUCUGGGCGCCAGCUCGGUUCUGGGCGCCAGCUCGGUUCUGGGCGCCAGCUCGGUUCUGGGCGCUCUGAAAGCUCCAGCAUCCUCAGUCAAAAGGAAAGAAGCGCCAUCCGGUUCUGACUCCAGAGGGGAGAAGAAGAAGAAAUCGGCUCUGGAGGAGAUCAUGGAGAUAGAGGAGAAGAAGAAGAAGAGGCAGUCCUCGGCCGUCAGGACGGAUUACUGGCUGCAGCCCAACAUCGUCGUCAAGAUCGUCACCAAGAAGCUGGGAGACAAGUACCACAAGAAGAAGGCCGUCGUCAUGAUCAGAGUGAUGUCAUGGCGGCCAUCUUUGUUGACAGGAUGUUCAUUUAGAGUUUGGAUUCAUUUCGACUUUACGGCGAAUAUUAAGGCCAAAAUGCAAAUGUUUUCAAUUACGAGAAUAAAGUCUUAAAGUAGUAAUUUACUAUGACUCUUAUACAAAAAACAACAUUAAAAUGAAGAACGUUUAUCAUCUGUGAAGUUACAUUUGGUUAUACAGAAAAUAACACUUUUAACACUUUAUUCUCAGCAGCAGAACUUUGAAAUAAAUUCAGUCGUUUGCGCAACAAUUGUUUCAAAGAAAGAACCUGACAGUUGCAGCAAUCAUAUCAGAUCUUGAAUUUUUAAGUCAUUUUAAGACUUUCCUCUGGUAAAAGUUGUCUUAAUUCUGCUAUCAUAACUGUUUUCUCAUAAUUAUGACUGAAAUGACAGCAAUGUUUUAAACAUUUUCUGUCAUUUGAAACUUCAUUUUUAGAAAACCAAACUAAAAUCUGAUCUUGGGGAAAUAAAUCUGUUGUGUUUUCUGAUUCCUGCGGAUCUCGUCCGUCUGCAGGAGGUGAAGGAGAAAUACGGCGCCGUGGUGAAGAUGAUCGACUCCGGCGACAAACUGAAGCUGGACCAGAACCACCUGCAGACGGUCAUCCCCGCUCCAGGGAAACGGGUUCUGAUCCUGAAC
This is an RNA transcript of Poeciliopsis prolifica (blackstripe livebearer), 1725 nucleotides long. It is a transcript of the gene named Kin17 DNA and RNA binding protein, with no coding region annotated. Lineage: Eukaryota; Metazoa; Chordata; Actinopteri; Cyprinodontiformes; Poeciliidae. The transcript is spliced from 11 exons. The record is from RefSeq and is a predicted model, not a curated record.